CCAAGAACACAGCAUCAAAGAACAGGACAAACAAGCAAGUGGUUACAACAGAAAAGUGAGAGGCAUUCACCUGAACUUAGGGGACAGAGUGCUCAUUGCAAACAAAGGUGAGAGAGGAAAGAAGAAACUGGCUGACAAAUGGAGUGCAAUUGUGUACACAGUUAAAGACAGAAACCUGCAGACACACACAUACAAGCUGGUGGACAGUAGUGGAAACACUAAGAUAGUUCAUCGAAACCUGGUCUUAGACAUCAGCUUUUUGCCUGUGGUGACAACUGGAGAAGAAUUGUGUGAUACUGAAGUGGAGGAAAGGUCGUAUACGACUGAUUCCCUGGACUCUUUGGAGGAGGAGGAGGAUUCAAGAGGCAGGACCAGUACGUGGAUAAUGAGUGGAUCAGAGGAAACCCGGAGUCAAAUGAUUAUGAGUGAACGAUCGUCUGAGGUGGAUCAGUCAAGUCAGGGCAUUCCAGAAGUGGACUGGUCUGCAGAUGGUCCAAUUCAGUGCUUCCCAAAUGACCAGAACCGGUCCAGCAGAGACACUAACUUCGACAGUUUAGUUGCAGGGGCUGACUCAGACUCAUCAUUCAUGUCACAUGUACAUUCAGGACACCUAAACACUCAGUCACAUCCUGCAGACACAGGUCAUGUCACAGUUACACAGGUACAAUCGACAGUAGAAACUGAACCUGUAGUCAGGACAAGGGCAGGCAGGGUUAGCAAAAGAAUCAAUCGACUCAUUGAGUCCAUGGUCCAAAAGCCUUUUGAUUUAAGGGGUUUUGUGAGUUCAGUUAACAAGAGAUCUCAGUCACUACUUACACUGUUUUAAAGUGACAAGCUUGUAGUUUUUUGUUUUUGUUUGUACCUCUGAUCUGGUAAAUAUGCCUUUUUAAGGGACAAUGUCUAAUGUAUGUGUUUUGUGUAAUAUGUUACAUGUUUGAGAGUAGCAGGGAGUUGUAUGGUGUACAAGGCAUCAUAUUAAUCUAGGAGGGACUAAGGCUUGAUCUCCCUUAUGUUUUCUCUGAACCUAUAUAGUAGGUGGCUUUUACAGCCGAUGGUAAAGCUAAGAGUUUUUCAGUUAACCCUGCACAAGUUUGAUGUCAGUUGUCUUGGAGGUCAGAAUGGUUUAUUCAGAGGUACACUAUGGUCUGGAUUUUUGCGAAAUAUAGGAGGGGUGUAUGUAACCAAUGUAUAACUUCACUUGUUUAUAUUUCAGUAAAAUCAUUGUCCAUACUUUAUUUGUAAAACUUGUCACUGUCACUUUAUUUUUUAGAUGCUUUUAUUUUGAAAAGUACGUUUUAUUUUGGUACUCAUGGCACCGGCACAUUUCUGCAGACUCGCGCUACUUUCCUCAGUUAGCUUCAGGCCCCACUGAGGAGAAGUGUGAAGUUAGAAAGCUGAUGAAGCCAUUUCCUGCUUUAAUUAUUAUAUUCUGUUUUGCACAGGUAUGUGGGUAUUCUUUUUGUAUUUUGUAACUGUAAAUUGUAUUGUUUGUUAUGUAAGUGUAAAUUAAUGGUUAUAUUUGUGUAUAUUGGUUUACAAGGAAAAACUGGUUUGCCACCAUGGAUAGAUGUAUAUCUGUUAAUUGUAUUAUUUAGAACUCUGUAUACUUUCCUGAGUUAGCUUCAGGCCCCACUGAGGAGAAGUGUGAAGUUAGAAAGCUGAUGAAGCCAUUUCCUGCUUUAAUUAUUAUAUUCUGUUUUGCACAGAGAAUAAAUCCUGGUUGGCAAGAAA
Gymnodraco acuticeps is the source of this 1731-nucleotide long non-coding RNA. RefSeq lists it as uncharacterized. The record is from RefSeq and is a predicted model, not a curated record. Lineage: Eukaryota; Metazoa; Chordata; Actinopteri; Perciformes; Bathydraconidae. The transcript is spliced from 2 exons.